Small nucleolar RNA from Lepisosteus oculatus (spotted gar), 134 nucleotides. NCBI's taxonomy places the organism in Eukaryota, Metazoa, Chordata, Actinopteri, Semionotiformes, Lepisosteidae. The record is from Ensembl.
CCUGCCCCUAGAGGCGUUGCAUCACGACUGCGAGUGUCGUGCUUGUGUCAGUAGGUGGCAGAGAGAAACGGGCUAUGUCUGCACUCGGUGUUCCAAAUAAGUGGUUACUCAGAAUGAUUAUUGGCCUGACACUA